AUUGAACGCUGGCGGCAUGCCUUACACAUGCAAGUCGAACGGCAGCACGGGAGCAAUCCUGGUGGCGAGUGGCGAACGGGUGAGUAAUAUAUCGGAACGUGCCCAGUCGUGGGGGAUAACGUAGCGAAAGCUACGCUAAUACCGCAUACGAUCUACGGAUGAAAGCGGGGGAUCGCAAGACCUCGCGCGAUUGGAGCGGCCGAUAUCAGAUUAGGUAGUUGGUGAGGUAAAGGCUCACCAAGCCGACGAUCUGUAGCUGGUCUGAGAGGACGACCAGCCACACUGGGACUGAGACACGGCCCAGACUCCUACGGGAGGCAGCAGUGGGGAAUUUUGGACAAUGGGCGCAAGCCUGAUCCAGCAAUGCCGCGUGCAGGAUGAAGG
RNAcentral lists this ribosomal RNA (384 nucleotides) under uncultured bacterium. RNAcentral's name for it is "bacterial SSU rRNA". It matches the Rfam family "Bacterial small subunit ribosomal RNA", at positions 29 to 414 of the family's 1533-position model. The record is from RNAcentral.